This is a long non-coding RNA of Puntigrus tetrazona (Sumatra barb), 205 nucleotides long. RefSeq lists it as uncharacterized. Lineage: Eukaryota; Metazoa; Chordata; Actinopteri; Cypriniformes; Cyprinidae. The transcript has 3 exons. The record is from RefSeq and is a predicted model, not a curated record.
ACUUGCCCAGGCAGAUGCAGCAUCUUCGACACUUCAACUGUUUGAACGCUGCAGCGGAUCUUUUCAGGGACUGAUUAACACGAUACCCAAGCACUUUUGUUACCUGAGGGUCUUCAAGCUUCAUAUUCAGAGUCAUGAUGAAAGCGAGGUGCAGGCUGAGCUUGGCAGUUGCCCACUGAAAAUUUACAUGUGCCAUCAUCCUGAC